GUUUUUAUAGUUGAGUACAACGUUGAUUUUUCAGGUCAGAGGCUUUGGUUAAAUUCCAAAUAAAAAUA
This 68-nucleotide transfer RNA is filed under the name Chioglossa lusitanica. Its description in RNAcentral is "tRNA-Glu". It matches the Rfam family "tRNA". Rfam says of the family: Transfer RNA (tRNA) molecules are approximately 80 nucleotides in length. Their secondary structure includes four short double-helical elements and three loops (D, anti-codon, and T loops). Lineage: Eukaryota; Metazoa; Chordata; Amphibia; Caudata; Salamandridae. The record is from RNAcentral.